Molecule: long non-coding RNA, 734 nt
Filed under: Glycine max (soybean)
Lineage: Eukaryota; Viridiplantae; Streptophyta; Magnoliopsida; Fabales; Fabaceae
Description: long non-coding RNA (GMAX_LNC000300)
Source: RNAcentral
GUUAUUAGGAGUUUGUAUGGUGGGGUUAAAAGAAAACGAGUGAGGGAGACAAGUAAUUGAAGGCUUCCCAAUUUCUCAUUCAGGUUGGUGGAAAAUUUUGAGGGGACGUUGUCAGACAACUCCACGUGAAGGUUUUUCUUCACAGUCUCUUUUGUCAAGAAAGAAACAAACGCUUCCAAAAUUUAUGUUGUUUUCACUUUGCGUGAGGAAACCCUUUGCGUGCGAAGAUGAAAAAGAAGAGAAGGGGCAACGUAGGGUAAGGAAUUGUAGUGGUGUAAAGAAAAGAAGGUGAUGUUGUCUGUACUUCUAGCUAUCGUGUCAGUCGUUAAAUUGAAAAUAAUUUGAUGGAUGGGGAUAGAGCAAUGGAGCAAGCAGGGGUAUCAUCACAGUAUCACUCAUGAAAACCUAGCCAUCAUUCAGAAACAAAUCAAAAGAAAACAGAUGAAAUGGUAAUUUCAUAAUUCAAACACAUUUAAUAUCUUAUAUAUAUAUAUAUAUAUAGAUGAUGAUAAGAAUGCAUCAUGCAUGCCCCUUUCAAUAAUUUACUAGUUCUCUAUAGGAUGAAGACAUAGGUUGAUAGCUAUAAUGAAUAAUAAUGUUGUUAUGAUUCAUUUUGUAUUUUAUUUAAACGACCAUCCAUUACACGAGAUCGUUCUCAGUGUGUUUUUGAACAAAUGCUCUUUGAAGAAUUAUAAAUGUGCAUGCACACCCUAUUAUUUUGUUUUUGUGUAAAC